RNAcentral lists this ribosomal RNA (1430 nucleotides) under uncultured bacterium. Its description in RNAcentral is "bacterial SSU rRNA". It matches the Rfam family "Bacterial small subunit ribosomal RNA". The record is from RNAcentral.
AGAGUUUGAUCCUGGCUCAGGACGAACGCUGGCGGCGUGCCUAAUACAUGCAAGUCGAACGCACUCUCGUUUAGAUUGAAGGAGCUUGCUCCUGAUUGAUAAACAUUUGAGUGAGUGGCGAACGGGUGAGUAACGCGUGGGGAAUCUGCUUUUGAGCGGGGGACAACAUUUGGAAACGAAUGCUAAUACCGCAUAAUAACUUUAAACAUAAGUUUUAAGUUUGAAAGAUGCAAUUGCAUCACUCAAAGAUGAUCCCGCGUUGUAUUAGCUAGUUGGUGAGGUAAAGGCUCACCAAGGCGAUGAUACAUAGCCGACCUGAGAGGGUGAUCGGCCACAUUGGGACUGAGACACGGCCCAAACUCCUACGGGAGGCAGCAGUAGGGAAUCUUCGGCAAUGGACGAAAGUCUGACCGAGCAACGCCGCGUGAGUGAAGAAGGUUUUCGGAUCAUAAAACUCUGUUGUUAGAGAAGAACAAGGAUGAGAGUAACUGCUCGUCCCUUGACGGUAUCUAACCAGAAAGCCAUGGCUAACUACGUGCCAGCAGCCGCGGUAAUACGUAGAUGGCAAGCGUUGUCCGGAUUUAUUGGGCGUAAAGCGCGCGCAGGUGGUUUCUUAAGUCUGAUGUGAAAGCCCACGGCUCAACCGUGGAGGGUCAUUGGAAACUGGGAGACUUGAGUGCAGAAGAGGAUAGUGGAAUUCCAAGUGUAGCGGUGAAAUGCGUAGAGAUUUGGAGGAACACCAGUGGCGAAGGCGACUGUCUGGUCUGUAACUGACACUGAGGCGCGAAAGCGUGGGGAGCAAACAGGAUUAGAUACCCUGGUAGUCCACGCCGUAAACGAUGAGUGCUAAGUGUUAGGGGGUUUCCGCCCCUUAGUGCUGCAGCUAACGCAUUAAGCACUCCGCCUGGGGAGUACGACCGCAAGGUUGAAACUCAAAGGAAUUGACGGGGGCCCGCACAAGCGGUGGAGCAUGUGGUUUAAUUCGAAGCAACGCGAAGAACCUUACCUAAGCUUGACAUCCUUUUGACCGAUGCCUAAUCGCAUCUUUCCCUUCGGGGACAGAAGUGACAGGUGGUGCAUGGUUGUCGUCAGCUCGUGUCGUGAGAUGUUGGGUUAAGUCCCGCAACGAGCGCAACCCUUGCCUUUAGUUGCCAGCAUUAAGUUGGGCACUCUAGAGGGACUGCCAGGGAUAACCUGGAGGAAGGUGGGGAUGACGUCAAAUCAUCAUGCCCCUUAUGCUUAGGGCUACACACGUGCUACAAUGGGUGGUACAGAGGGCAGCCAAACCGUGAGGUGGAGCUAAUCCCUUAAAGCCAUUCUCAGUUCGGAUUGUAGGCUGAAACUCGCCUACAUGAAGCUGGAGUUACUAGUAAUCGCAGAUCAGAAUGCUGCGGUGAAUGCGUUCCCGGGUCUUGCACACACGCCCGUCA